This 522-nucleotide ribosomal RNA is filed under the name uncultured bacterium. Its description in RNAcentral is "bacterial SSU rRNA". It matches the Rfam family "Bacterial small subunit ribosomal RNA", at positions 988 to 1509 of the family's 1533-position model. The record is from RNAcentral.
CCAGAGAACUUUCCAGAGAUGGAUUGGUGCCUUCGGGAACUCUGAGACAGGUGCUGCAUGGCUGUCGUCAGCUCGUGUUGUGAAAUGUUGGGUUAAGUCCCGCAACGAGCGCAACCCUUAUCCUUUGUUGCCAGCGGUUAGGCCGGGAACUCAAAGGAGACUGCCAGUGAUAAACUGGAGGAAGGUGGGGAUGACGUCAAGUCAUCAUGGCCCUUACGAGUAGGGCUACACACGUGCUACAAUGGCGCAUACAAAGAGAAGCGACCUCGCGAGAGCAAGCGGACCUCAUAAAGUGCGUCGUAGUCCGGAUUGGAGUCUGCAACUCGACUCCAUGAAGUCGGAAUCGCUAGUAAUCGUAGAUCAGAAUGCUACGGUCGAAUACGUUCCCGGGCCUUGUACACACCGCCCGUCACACCAUGGGAGUGGGUUGCAAAAGAAGUAGGUAGCUUAACCUUCGGGAGGGCGCUUACCACUUUGUGAUUCAUGACUGGGGUGAAGUCGUAACAAGGUAGGCGUAGUGCU